UGUCGGGUUUGUUUAAUAAACUUUACCUUCUUACCUUCACAGUUUCUGAAUUAGAUUGUGUGAAGUAUGUACAGAUGAACGCUGAUGUUAUCUUGUUUCUAACUUUAGCUAGUCAACAUGAGCAAGCGGACAAGAGAUAUUCAGCACUUUUCUGGCGCCAAAAGAAGACAAUACUAGCAGCAUGGAUGAUGACAACGUCCUGACUGUUCAUCCACCCACCACUUUGGAUCAGUGAAGGGGCACCAUCUAGGGUGGAUGCUGUGUUGCUGUUACAAAUGAUCCUGUGGGAGACUCACUGACAGCCAAGCUCUAUGCGGCUCCACAUGCCUCAUCACCACACACACACACACACA
Seriola aureovittata is the source of this 353-nucleotide long non-coding RNA. RefSeq lists it as uncharacterized. The record is from RefSeq and is a predicted model, not a curated record. The transcript is spliced from 4 exons. Lineage: Eukaryota; Metazoa; Chordata; Actinopteri; Carangiformes; Carangidae.